RNAcentral lists this ribosomal RNA (450 nucleotides) under uncultured bacterium. RNAcentral's name for it is "partial 16S ribosomal RNA". It matches the Rfam family "Bacterial small subunit ribosomal RNA", at positions 354 to 796 of the family's 1533-position model. The record is from RNAcentral.
GUGGGGAAUAUUGGACAAUGGGCGAAAGCCUGAUCCAGCCAUGCCGCGUGUGUGAAGAAGGUCUUCGGAUUGUAAAGCACUUUAAGUUGGGAGGAAGGGCAGUAAGUUAAUACCUUGCUGUUUUGACGUUACCGACAGAAUAAGCACCGGCUAACUUCGUGCCAGCAGCCGCGGUAAUACGAAGGGUGCAAGCGUUAAUCGGAAUUACUGGGCGGAAAGCGCGCGUAGGUGGUUUUGUAAGUUGGAGGUGAAAUCCCCGGGCUCGACCUGGGAACUGCCUCCAAAACUGAAUGACUAGAGUACGGUAGAGGGUAGUGGAAUUUCCUGUGUAGCGGUGAAAUGCGUAGAUAUAGGAAGGAACACCAGUGGCGAAGGCGACUACCUGGACUGAUACUGACACUGAGGUGCGAAAGCGUGGGGAGCAAACAGGAUUAGAUACCCGGGUAGUCC